UCAAUCACCUUUUUAUGUCAACCCCCGAUGGCACAGAUUUACUUCCAUAAAUUUUGCUCUGUGCCAGUAGGGGGCUGUAUGUGCUUUGUGGCUCAGCUGACCUCGGAUAUGCCCAGGUAGGCCAUUUAACCUGCAGGAAUCCCAGACACAGGUGUUGCUAAUUUGGGAAGCAAACAGUUUUCGACUGUGCCAGUGUGCGUGUCUGCCUUUGUGGUGAGCAAUGCGGUUUGUUAUUUUGGGUAAAUGUAUUAUGAGCAAAAAGUUGCCGGUGUAUGAUAUUUGCAUUUAAAAUAAACAUGCAAAAUAUUUGUAACAAUCAAAGAACUCUCCGUCUUUGCUAUGUUCGAGCGCACCGGGCGCACGUCUAAACCUAUCCGCCGUAUUAGCAACCAGUACUAGACUUCGUUCAGGACUUCAUCAGUACAGUGGCCAAACAUGUUUUUGGUUUGUGUUGAGCAAUGGUGACUUUCAUAAAGUUAUUGCUUAGCACUUGUAGAAAUCCAACUGCAUUUUGUACAGGGAACACCAGCCUCACUCGGAUUUUGAUGGAGAACCAGAUCACCUAACUCCAUCAACAGCUCAAUUCAUUCUGGAUAGUGACAUGUUUCUGGUGGCAGGAACGAUGUUGAGCCACUCAUUCCUACACAGUGGACCCUGUUUAUCUGGCCUUAGUCCUGCAAUAGUUCAUGUGUUGUGUGGGGGAAUCACCAGAAACUACAACAAUCCAAAUUGCAGAUUGCCCCGAUAUUGACAUCCGCACUACUAUCCAGUCGCUGGAAGGCAGUUCUGAGUUGACAAAAGAGGAAGAGAACGCAGACUUUGACCUUGCCUUGUCCUGGGACCUACCUGGUGUUACCAAAACCAACCGGAAGUGGCUGCAUGAGCGGCUUCUAUUCCACGCUGUGAUUUAACGAACAAGCCGUCAAGUAAAGCAGCUACGGAAAGGACUAAAGGAGACCAUGGUUUGGCCCCUUCUGAAAGAGAGAAUGACAGACGUCAUUCCCACAUUUUUCCCAAGGAAUUCAGAGGCUGCUCUCAGUUCUCAUGUAAUUAUGAUGUCCACAGUCAAUGAAGUGAAGAUAGGUCAAAUGUAUCCUCUCCUCUGUUGUCUCUAUUGCUCCAAUUCCGCUAUAAGGAACACGGCGCCUUAUUGGAACUUAAUCUUAUUCACCAUAACCCCCAGAGUUCGACAAGUCCAUACAUACCCUUCUCAUCUCCGUGUGUUGUAACUCUGUCCAAUGCCCCCAACCGGCUCCAUCUAGCCUACUGCUCCCAAUAAGUGACAAAAUAACGCCAACAUGUUCCUAUUUACAUGUUGUAAUUUGUAUAGUCACAGCGUAUGUAUGGACAUACUCAGGGGGUUACAGGGAAUAAGAAAAAGUCCCAAUAAGGUGCCAUUUUCCUUUUAACACAAGUACAUCAUAUUAACUACAGGUGCAAUGUCUUUUAGCUACAUAUAAGUGCACUUAAAUAUUGAAAAUGGUAACGAUAGUCUUAUCUUUUCUUUUUCUGUUCUAACAUCAUCCCAGCCUGUGAAUACAUUUUUAAUGGCAUUCCAUCAUAACCUAUUUUUAAUUUCCAGUGUGUACUUGUAAUGUGACAGAGGACCAAUUAGGUUAACACUUAUCACUUCUCAUUUAAUAGCUUCCCGUACAUAGUUCGAAAGACUCCUCCAAUUCUGGACAGGAUGGGAACUCUUGCCCAGUGAACUAAUGCUGGAAGUCUUAAACGUGUUUUGAAACACUUUGUCUUCCUGCACACCACAAAGACUACGAAGCUUUUGCUAGUGACAUUUCAGGCCUGCCUCAACUCCACUGACCCAGGAUUUGGUCUUAUAUAGGAUGGACUCAAUGUCACGAGUUACUUAAACAAAACCAGAUCUUUUUCAAUUAUGUUCAUGGGAGGGGUAGGGAUUUUAUCACAGACCAUUACGGUUCCAUUUCUUGGUUUUUAAACUGUAAUUCUGUUUUAUAUUCUGCUUUCAAAACUGUAAUCUUUGAUUUGCUUGAUUUGCUAAACUCUACCAUGGCUAUGGAACUUGGAGUUUAAGAGUUUUCUCUAGACCAAACUGUAAAUGAGAAGACAAUCUGAGACAUGCAAUGAAACAGGCAAAGAUAUUUCAUGUUAAUGAACAUUGCCUCCUUUUUGUGUACAGUAUACCAGAAUGUAAUGUACUGGAGAUAAAAACACUUGGUGCACAGAGAUCGCUUUUGGCUCAAAACUCAAACCCAAGUUUUCCUGAUGACACUGUGCUUGACCUAAGGUU
This is a long non-coding RNA of Pungitius pungitius (ninespine stickleback), 2266 nucleotides long. RefSeq lists it as uncharacterized. The record is from RefSeq and is a predicted model, not a curated record. Lineage: Eukaryota; Metazoa; Chordata; Actinopteri; Perciformes; Gasterosteidae. The transcript is spliced from 4 exons.